GUUUGCGACGGACGUCCAAGCCAGGUUUCAGUAGGCCCACCUCAUCCAUUUAACCCAGCCCAUCUUCAGUGUGGUCCUCAUUCGAUCCCCAAUUCGCACCAGCAAACCCUAGCCGCACAGUGCAUCUCAAUCGAUCCCAAAUCGAACCAAGACACCCUAGCUGGUAAAGAUGGCAGAUGCAGGUCGCCCUGCCAAUCGUGCCUUGCCCGGAUUCCGGCAGGAACGUCGUGACCUAUGUAGCUCGUCGCGGCCAGAACGCUAUUGAGCGUUUCCACAAGUGCCGCCGUCACAACCCAGCACGUGGUGGAUGCGACUUCUGUAGGUGGCAGCAAUCUCACGCCGAGUCGCUUGCUGCAGCAGCACCUCCGAUGGCGCAAAUCGUGCCUGCGCAGGAGCAAGCCGGCCUAGCGUACAAUGCUGCGGACGUCCACAGGGGGCGAAUGCGGCUGCGACCGGCCAUGGCUUCGCCGGAGUCCACCGCCGGCGAUGGAAGCUAGGCUUCCGCUUCCAAUCGCUCUCUCUGCCGAGCAGGAGGACGCCCGCAUCUGACCUGUCCAUCCCCCGAGUAAGCUCUGAACCCUCCUCCGUCCUUGGAGGCUGGAGGUAGUUGCUAGUUUUUUAGGUCGACAAAGGUUGGAUUGCUCUACACUCUACAGACAUAAUGGAUUCAUUCAGUUCAAUUUAUGAGUGUGUUUUUUCCUAACUUCCUAUGAUUAUUGAAGAGAUAAUAACAGAUCAAAGGUAAUGGAAGUUGCAGAGGUCUAUGCUUAUUAGUAGGGAUGAUAUUUUGCAGAGGAAAUUCAACUCCCCAUCUUUGUCUUGGAUGGCAAUUGCAGUCGAAACUCGCUCUGUCUUAUCUGAAACAAACAAACACACCUCUCAUCAGGGAAAUAACCAUAUUAAUUUAGGUGCAGGGCUCUGAGUGAAAUCAGACUAUAUUAAUUUAGGCGCGGCGGCGGCUCUGCAAGUUUGCAUUCGCUUCUGGUGUUGGUCGAUGCGAAAUCAACAAUGGACACUGCUGGAAGGAAACCAAUAACGGGAGGUUUGUCUCCGCCUGCUCGGUAUAACAUCAUUCCUUUCAGAUGUCUUCUAGCUUGUAGUUUUCUUGUGGCUUCUGUGUGGUACAAAACUGAAUUUUGGAAAUGAGCAAGCUAAGGGCUGCAAAUGUCCACAAGGCUUCAAGGUUGACGGCGUACACGGCUGCAAAGGAGUACCUACAAGAGGCGGGGCGAGGAAGGAGCAAUGAUUAGAGUCGCCACAACAGCAGAGGCGAGGGCGGGGAAGGAACGACUCCGCCAGCGCGGCUGACUAGCUUGAUCCACGGGGAUGAGAGGUCGGCGGCGGCGCAGUUGGGCGGCGGGUGCCCCGGGCGGUGCGCGGGCGACGGCCGGAGGAAAGAGACGGAGACCUAUUUCAAGCAGUUUUGGAAGUUUUUUGCUAAAAUGCCAGUACACCGGAGUGGUGUCUGGCAUCACUUUCUCUGUUGCUAUCUCCAUUGCUCUGCAUAUACAUGACAGGAUACAUUUUAUCCAAGUAACAUACCGAAAAGAGUCCUAUGAACAAAAGAGCCUGCUGGCAAGAGUGGUAAAGCAAAAAAAAUUAGGCAAAAUUAGGCAUCAUUGAAGAUCAUUAAAGACGUGUGACAGUCAGGGUGGACGCUAAAGAAAGUUUUCACUAUUACUAGACA
Long non-coding RNA from Triticum aestivum (bread wheat), 1687 nucleotides. RefSeq lists it as uncharacterized. The record is from RefSeq and is a predicted model, not a curated record. NCBI's taxonomy places the organism in Eukaryota, Viridiplantae, Streptophyta, Magnoliopsida, Poales, Poaceae. The transcript has 4 exons.